UCUCCGUUGGUGAACCAGCGGAGGGAUCAUUACCGAGUUUACAACUCCCAGACCCCUGUGAACAUACCAUUUGUUGCCUCGGCGGUGCCUGCUUCGGCAGCCCGCCAGAGGACCCAAACCCUUGAUUUUAUACAGUAUCUUCUGAGUAAAUGAUUAAAUAAAUCAAAACUUUCAACAACGGAUCUCUUGGUUCUG
This 195-nucleotide unclassified non-coding RNA is filed under the name plant metagenome. RNAcentral describes it as "partial contains small subunit ribosomal RNA, internal transcribed spacer 1, and 5.8S ribosomal RNA". The record is from RNAcentral.